UGCCAGCCGCCGCGGUAAUACGGAGGAUGCAAGCGUUAUCCGGAAUCACUGGGUUUAAAGGGUGCGUAGGCGGAUUCAUAAGUCAGGGGUGAAAUCUUUCAGCUUAACUGGAAAAUUGCCUCUGAAACUGUAAGUCUUGAAAUAUGGUGAGGUUGGCGGAAUGUGACAUGUAGCGGUGAAAUGCAUAGAUAUGUCAUAGAACACCAAUUGCGAAGGCAGCUGACUGGCCAUUAUUUGACGCUGAGGCACGAAAGCGUGGGGAGCGAACAGGAUUAGAUA
RNAcentral lists this ribosomal RNA (279 nucleotides) under uncultured bacterium. Its description in RNAcentral is "partial 16S ribosomal RNA". It matches the Rfam family "Bacterial small subunit ribosomal RNA", at positions 506 to 784 of the family's 1533-position model. The record is from RNAcentral.